Molecule: small nucleolar RNA, 129 nt
Filed under: Sorex araneus (European shrew)
Lineage: Eukaryota; Metazoa; Chordata; Mammalia; Eulipotyphla; Soricidae
Source: RNAcentral
GUUUAAAGCACACUUUGUGCCUUUCCCCAGUGACCCAGGGAGCGGUUAAAAAAAGGGUGCAGGAAAGACAUGGCUUCAGCGGGUGACUUCACAGCAUGUUGUUCAGCUUCUAUCCAUGAUGUAACAGGG